Molecule: long non-coding RNA, 1066 nt
Organism: Eriocheir sinensis (Chinese mitten crab)
Lineage: Eukaryota; Metazoa; Arthropoda; Malacostraca; Decapoda; Varunidae
Exons: 3
Source: RefSeq, a predicted model, not a curated record
CUACAACAGUUUAGUCAGACCCCACUUGGAAUAUGCGGUACAGUUUUGGUCUCCCCACCAUGCAAAGGAUAUUGCUAAAUUAGAAGGUGUUCAGCGUCGGGCAACGAAAAUUAUCCCUUCCUUGCGCAACAAAUCCUACGAAGAAAGGCUUUCUACCCUUAACAUGUUCUCUCUUGAGAAACGUCGCCUCCGAGGAAAACUGAUCGAAUGUUUUAAAAUACUUAAUGGUUUCACGAAUGUAGACAGAUCAACAUUGUUUAUGAUCGAUGACACUUUGCGCACGAGGAACAAUGGCGUAAAACUCAGAUGUAGACAAGUAAAUUCAGACUGCACCAAAUUUUUCUUCACCAACGUUGUAGUGCGAGAAUGGAAUAAGCUCCCAUCAUCAGUGGUCCAGUGUAACACGAUUGACUCCUUCAAAAAUAAGCUCGACCGUCACUUCCUUCAACUUAAUAAUCAACUAGAGUAGAACUGCAACGUUUUGGAGUCUUCUGAUUAAUGUAAAAUCACUUAGGUUUAAGGACAGACCACCAAGUCUGGACCAUGGGGUCUGUGUGGUCUGAUUUUCUAUGUAAAUCUAUGUAAAUCCACUACUACAGUCCCUUGCCGUUCCCAUGUAGCACCAGGGUUGGCAGGUCCAGGGAGAGGUUCGUACAGGUUGUUCUACACGACGUAUACUUGUUACUGGUCAUCCCUGGCUCUGGUGGGGUUUACAGGUCCAGGGAGAGGUUCAUACAGGUUGUUCUCCACGACGUAUACUUGUUGCUGGUCAUCCCUGGCUCUGGUGGGGUUUACAGGUCCAGGGAGAGGUUCAUACAGGUUGUUCUCCACGACGUAUACUUGUUGCUGGUCAUCCCUGGCUCUGGUGGGGUUUACAGGUCCAGGGAGAGGUUCAUACAGGUUGUUCUCCACGACGUAUACUUGUUGCUGGUCAUCCCUGGCUCUGGUGGGGUGUACAGGUCCAGGGAGAGGUUCAUACAGGUUGUUCUCGAUGACAUAGUCUUGUGUGGGUGUGGGUGGGUAAAGCUGGUGGUGAUACUGGACCCCCAUGCCUGUUGAUCAGUUG